GUGAGGAAUAUUGGACAAUGGGCGCAAGCCUGAUCCAGCCAUGCCGCGUGCAGGAAGACGCAUCUAUGGUGUGUAAACUGCUUUUGUACGGGAAGAAACACUCCCUCGUGAGGGAGCUUGACGGUACCGUAAGAAUAAGGAUCGGCUAACUCCGUGCCAGCAGCCGCGGUAAUACGGAGGAUCCAAGCGUUAUCCGGAAUCAUUGGGUUUAAAGGGUCCGUAGGCGGUUUAAUAAGUCAGUGGUGAAAGCCCAUCGCUCAACGAUGGAACGGCCAUUGAUACUGUUAGACUUGAAUUACAAGGAAGUAACUAGAAUAUGUAGUGUAGCGGUGAAAUGCUUAGAUAUUACAUGGAAUACCAAUUGCGAAGGCAGGUUACUACUUGUGGAUUCACGCUGAUGGACGAAAGCGUGGGGAGCGAACAGGAUUAGAAACCCUGGUAGUCC
Molecule: ribosomal RNA, 445 nt
Filed under: uncultured bacterium
Lineage: Bacteria
Description: partial 16S ribosomal RNA
Rfam family: Bacterial small subunit ribosomal RNA
Source: RNAcentral